AGUUUCAACAACGGAUCUCUUGGCUCUCGCAUCGAUGAAGAACGCAGCGAAAUGCGAUAAGUAAUGUGAAUUGCAGAAUUCAGUGAAUCAUCGAAUCUUUGAACGCACCUUGCGCUCCUUGGUAUUCCUUGGAGCAUGCCUGUUUGAGUAUC
RNAcentral lists this ribosomal RNA (152 nucleotides) under Thanatephorus cucumeris. RNAcentral describes it as "5.8S ribosomal RNA". It matches the Rfam family "5.8S ribosomal RNA". Rfam says of the family: 5.8S ribosomal RNA (5.8S rRNA) is a component of the large subunit of the eukaryotic ribosome. It is transcribed by RNA polymerase I as part of the 45S precursor that also contains 18S and 28S rRNA. The record is from RNAcentral. Lineage: Eukaryota; Fungi; Basidiomycota; Agaricomycetes; Cantharellales; Ceratobasidiaceae. RNAcentral also lists the same sequence under 3 other names.